AGAUGUAGGUAAGGGUGAAAGGGUGCGGUAAGAGCGCACCGCGUGUCUGGUAACAGUUCACGGCAAGGUAAACCCCACCAGAAGCAAGACCAAAUAGGAAUCCUGAGGCGCGGCCCGUGCUGGAUUCGGGUAGGUCGCUUGAGCGUACGAGUGAUUGUACGCCUAGAGGAAUGAUCGUCCUCGACAGAACCCGGCUUACAGGCCCGCUUCAAAG
Molecule: RNase P RNA, 214 nt
Filed under: Acinetobacter sp.
Lineage: Bacteria; Pseudomonadati; Pseudomonadota; Gammaproteobacteria; Moraxellales; Moraxellaceae
Description: partial RNase P RNA component class A
Rfam family: Bacterial RNase P class A
About the family: Ribonuclease P (RNase P) is a ubiquitous endoribonuclease, found in archaea, bacteria and eukarya as well as chloroplasts and mitochondria. Its best characterised activity is the generation of mature 5'-ends of tRNAs by cleaving the 5'-leader elements of precursor-tRNAs.
Source: RNAcentral